UAUCUAGAAAGUGGUAAUUCAGUUCAUUAACCCACUUAUAAAAUCAAUAUAUCACGCAGGGAGCUGAACAAAACUUGGCAGCUGUGCCUAUAUCCCCUUUGCACCUGAGGGAAGCCUGACUGAAAGAAUCAGAGCCUCUUCACUCUGCCUGUGGCAGCGUGCAGCAGCCACGGACCCUCACCAGGAUCUGCAGAGCAAGCCUUGCCUCCUAAGUUAGCUCUUGGAAACUUUUGUGCAUAGGAUGUCCAGCUGCAGGAGGCUUUUUCUUUAGUGGAAGUGGAGGUUCGCAUAGAAAUAGGUUGAUCUUCCUGAGUCCCCGGUGGCACAGGUCCCAGAGCCCUGGGUUACUUAGGGUCAGUCGUCCUGGUGGUUGCAGUCAUGACGGAGUGGUAAAUCCACUAUUGAUUCUCAGAUAUUUCAUCUACUUUCUUUUGUAUUAGUAAUAAGAUUAAAAAAAAUACAUCGCAGGAGAACAUGUGUUUCACAAAUGCCGUCAUUGUUUUCUGAAACAGAAAGGCUGGUCGAAAAGCGGAGCUGGAAAAGCACGACCCCCCAUUUUGUGCGUGGUAGGCUCCUCUUGACAUUAUGCACUGACGUGAAAGGAUAUGGCUUUCCUGCUGACUUCAGCGAGAGAAAACAAAGAGUUCAGCCUGAGACCGAGAAAUUGCUUCAUAAGAAAACCAUCUGUGUUGAGAGAGAUGGACUAAGCAGCUGGAUCCCUGCCAUACUGUCUGGGGGAAUAUGGUUGUUCUGGACAAGAGGAACAAUGGGAGCAGAAUGGCUGAUAUAUGUGUGCACACAGUUUUCCCCUCUUCAUCUCUCUGGAUGACUGCAGUGAGGUGAAGAGUCUGUGUUUUACCAUCAAAGGUCAGCCCUCCAGGAUGUGUGGAAGCUGCAGUGUGGCCCCUGCAUGCCAGUCUACUGAAGGAUACACUUAGGGCUGGGUCUGGAGAAGGGUGAUGUGGUAGGUGUGGAGGUGCUCCAGCACUCUUAGACUCUGGAGGGUAAACAGAGUCCUUGCAUGUACAGUCAGAAGGAAUUUGUACAGAGCACUAGUCUGCUUCCUGAAAGCCAUCAAUAAGCUGAGUAGGUCUGAGUGAAAAUUUCCCAUCCAAUGGAAAACUGGAUAUUUGACAAAGUAUCCCUUCACUUUUUGCAAUGAGUGUGUGCUUUCUACAGAAAUUUGAAUGUUUCCUUUAAGAAGCAUACGCUCU
This 1214-nucleotide long non-coding RNA is filed under the name Anser brachyrhynchus (Pink-footed goose). Its description in RNAcentral is "lncRNA (ENSABRG00000004755.1)". Lineage: Eukaryota; Metazoa; Chordata; Aves; Anseriformes; Anatidae. The record is from RNAcentral.